GCCUGUUUAGUUCAGUGGUAGAAUUCUCGCUUCGGGUGUUAUAACCUCCAUCUUUAGGGAUGGAUAAGUGUGAGAGGUCCCAGGUUCGAACCCUGGUACAGGCC
This 104-nucleotide transfer RNA is filed under the name Dactylellina haptotyla CBS 200.50. It matches the Rfam family "tRNA". From Rfam's summary of the family: Transfer RNA (tRNA) molecules are approximately 80 nucleotides in length. Their secondary structure includes four short double-helical elements and three loops (D, anti-codon, and T loops). Further hydrogen bonds mediate the characteristic L-shaped molecular structure. tRNAs have two regions of fundamental functional importance: the anti-codon, which is responsible for specific mRNA codon recognition, and the 3' end, to which the tRNAs corresponding amino acid is attached (by aminoacyl-tRNA synthetases). tRNAs cope with the degeneracy of the genetic code in two manners: having more than one tRNA (with a specific anti-codon) for a particular amino acid; and 'wobble' base-pairing, i.e. permitting non-standard base-pairing at the 3rd anti-codon position. The record is from Rfam by way of RNAcentral. Lineage: Eukaryota; Fungi; Ascomycota; Orbiliomycetes; Orbiliales; Orbiliaceae.